Molecule: unclassified non-coding RNA, 1125 nt
Filed under: Leishmania donovani
Lineage: Eukaryota; Euglenozoa; Kinetoplastea; Trypanosomatida; Trypanosomatidae
Description: gene:unknown
Source: RNAcentral
CUGCCUUCACCCCACUCACACGAGCACAAAACGGGCACCACUCAACACGAGGUACACGACAUCGGAUUUCUUCCGCUUGUCGUCCACGUGUCCGUAUUCCACCCACGAACAACUCCGCCAACGUAUACGCGCACACAGCCACAGAUCAUCUGCCUGUGCGCCAUGCUUCGCCCUCUCAGGCGCUUCAAGCAGCGGCAUUCCAUAACAUGGAGACGCUCCGCAUUGGGGGUCUGGAGGGCUCGUUGUCAUCAUCUUGCAUUCCCGUCGGUGCCACAGGGUGGCUUGCCUGGAUGGCUUGCCUGCACGCGCACAGUGUGAAGCGAGGCGUGCUUCAUGCGUCGGGCGAUCCGCGAAUCUCGCGUAGCGCACCAGGCACCACGUCGAGUCGGACGCCUUCAUAGCAAACACAGGCGGCUUUGGGAGGCUCUGGCGGGGUGGGGGUACGACCAUGUCAACGCAGCAGCGGGCAGCACGCCACGUGCACCCCAUGCUGCCACGACGAGUCCCCCACCGUUGGAGGAAUCCGAAGUGCGGGCAGGUGGUGCCUGUGCGGGACUGGGCGAACAGGGUCUCCCCUGUCGUCUUGCGAGCUCAGCAGCUGUGCUGUUGUGGUGUGGGACGGCUGCCGCGAAGAACCUCUUGUGUCAGCGCGCCGCAUUGUGUGGCGCGGUUUCGGGGGAUGCCGGCGUGGCGUCGGAGACGGGUGACCGGGUCCGCCAUCCGUGCAGCUGGCGUCGCUGUUUAUGCGGUCUCGACCGCUCCGUCGGUGUGCACCAAGUCAGAGUGGCCACCGACACGCUGAAAUGCGAGGCGCACACGACGGGCCACCGCAGCGCCAGUGAACGUGCCCAGGCCCGUCGCACUGUGCUGUUCUCCACGGUUGCGGGUCCCGUGUCGGGUGCCAUGAGGGAGGAUAGGCGGGGGCCGAUGGGCAAGGUUCGUGUAGCCCUGUGCGUCGAUACUGUUUUGCAUGGGCAUAUCUUUGCCAGUUUCUGCGCAGUCGCGCUUGCCUCUCUCUCUCUCUGCUCCCCGCAUCACUUGGUGCCUAGAAUCCAUCACCGGCACGGGUGACACAUGCGUGCUGCGCAGAGUCCCUCAUGCUUCGCCAAGGGAGGCACACAGACG